Molecule: ribosomal RNA, 545 nt
Filed under: uncultured bacterium
Lineage: Bacteria
Description: bacterial SSU rRNA
Rfam family: Bacterial small subunit ribosomal RNA
Source: RNAcentral
AGGCAACAGUUGAGAAUAUUCGACCAAGGGCGAAAAGCCCAUCCAGCAAUUUCGCGUGAUUGAUGACGGCCUUUAGCUGGGUAUGCUCUUUUGUUCGGGACCCAAGAUUUCGUACCUCAGCGACAAUACCCGGCCAACCUGGUGCCUGCAGCCCCGGUAAUCUUGAGGGGGUUUGCGUAUUUCGGAAUUACUGUGCGAAAAGCGCGCGUCGGCGGUUAUUUAAAGCACCACGCUUUCGCACCUCAGCGUCAAUAAUUGUGAGGUGAAAGUCCGGAGCUCAACUCCGGAACUGCCCUUGAAACUAGAUGAUUAGAAUCUUGGGGAGGUCAGGGGAAUUCCCCAGUAAUGGGUAAAAUUGGUAGAUAUUCGGAGGAACACCAGUGGGGAAGGGGACUGACUGGACAAUUAUGUUGCUGGGGUGCGAAAGCGGGGGGACCAAACCGGAUUGGAUACCCUGGUAGUCCACCCCUCAACGAGAUAACUAGCUUCCGGGCUCAUGCGCUUGGGUACGCAGCUAACGCAUUAAGUUUCCGCCUGGUGAGAUU